Molecule: non-coding RNA, 655 nt
Organism: Pelobates cultripes (western spadefoot toad)
Lineage: Eukaryota; Metazoa; Chordata; Amphibia; Anura; Pelobatidae
Source: the annotation of a GenBank genome assembly
GCAGGGGUGAAGCUACAGAGAAUCCAGACAGCAACUCCCACCCUGCAGAGACAGCCUACAGCUCAGGGAAGUAAGGGAUGGGGGAAAGGCUGCAAGGAGACAUACACUGAGACACUAAGGGACAUUGGGAGACAUUAUGGCAGACACUGAGACACUAAGGGACAUUGGGAAACAUUAUGGCAGACACAGAGACACUAAGGGACAUUGGGAGACAUUAUGGCACAGACACAUGGGGACACAAUGUCCCCAUAUCUCCCAGCCAGUGUCCCUGGUGUCUCAGUGCCCCCUAGUCUCCCAGUGACCUCUAGUAUUCCAGUGCCCCCAGUCUGCGAGUGUCUCACUGUCCCCAUGUCUCCUAGUGCCUCCAUGUCUCUCAGUGCCUCAAGUGUCACAAUGUCCCCAAGCUAGUGUCCCUAGUGUCUGUGGCCCUGGUGUCUCAGUGUCCCCGGUGUCUGUGUCCCCAUGUCUCCCAGUGCCCCAGCCAGUGUCUCUAGUAUCUUUGUCCCUGGUGUCUGUGUCCCCAUGUCUUCAAGUGUCCCCUAUUUUCCCAUUGUCCCCAUGUGUCCCAGCCAGAGUCCCCUAGUCUCCCAGUGUCACUGGUGUCUCCAGGUCUCCCCGUGUCCCCAGGUCUCCCCGUCUUCCUAGUGUCCUAGUG